Molecule: non-coding RNA, 1192 nt
Organism: Cyanistes caeruleus (blue tit)
Lineage: Eukaryota; Metazoa; Chordata; Aves; Passeriformes; Paridae
Source: RefSeq, a predicted model, not a curated record
UAAGGAUGCUUCUGGACUUUUCUGCACUGCUCUUACUUAAAGAGAAAAAAUGUGAAGGUCUCAUUUAGAGGAAUGGCCCUAUUUUAGAUUUGCAAGCUUAUGCACAAGGGGAGAAGGGCUGGUGCCUCCAUCGACUGUCGCUGUUAAAGGUUAUCAAAAAGAACUCUUGGCUCUGUGAAGAAAUGAGUAAUGAGUGCAAGUGGGUUUCACAGACCCUGUUACAAGGCAAGAAUAAACCAGGAUUAAAAAGCCUCGUGGAGAGUGUUUUUCCCAACAGGCCUAAUGUUUAAUGGUUUUUUACUCAGAAGAAUUAGGAGGGUCACGGUAACUGGAGCUUGAAAUAAAGGGCUUGCCUGGACUUAUGGAAAUAAUGGAUCUGGAUGAACAUUUCUCACAGCUCAGAAGGUCCAAUUCUGGCUGAGAAGAAAUUAGCAUUGCAAACACCCCCCCACACACAUCAUGAAAGAGUGGAGAUGUUGUAAAACAUGGCUCCAGGCUCCUUCUGCUCUAGCCUGAAGAUUUGGAUGCCUCCAUUCACCAAUAACCUGACUUCCUGACAUCUCCCAGAUCCUCUGAGAAUACAGCAAUUACCUGCCAGAACAGGGGAGCUGAGGAAAAGGGCAAAGCAGUAGAGCCAUGCACACAAACUAGAAUUAUCUGUGUAUUACAUGAGCAAAUAAAAUCACAGGGAGGGAUUGGAACUGACAUACGGAACUAAUUAAUUCAACUAACUGCUUCAAGUCUUUGAUAAACUGAUUUAUUUGAUGUUUCCCAGUCCAUUCCAAGCAGCACAGUCUCCCCUGAAAGCUUCUGGACACAAGAGAGAACAUUCAUCUGUCUGCAGAGGAGUUUGCCAUCCUGCAGCUGACUCUCCCUUGCAUUUGUUGCCUUCUUUUUUCUGGCACCAGUGCCUGGACAGUUCUGACGUGCUCUGGGAUGGCAGCAUGGGAGGCAGCAGGGUGAGAGCAGAGCUGCCACUCGGAUAAAGCCUCUGCUAACAAGAGACAAGAAAAGAGUUCAGCAAUUCUGAUUUCCACUAGAUUUGAUGGGGACACAUUGCUUUUGUGAAUAGCUUGCUUGGCUGGUCCCCUAUGUUUGUUUGUUUAUUUAUUUAUUUGUGAAUGGGGGCUUUGGUAGUGUAGAAAUUAGACUGUUUUUCCUCAAAGGCUGAAGCAGAAAAUAUCUCAGAAUA